This 492-nucleotide ribosomal RNA is filed under the name uncultured bacterium. RNAcentral describes it as "partial 16S ribosomal RNA". It matches the Rfam family "Bacterial small subunit ribosomal RNA", at positions 29 to 507 of the family's 1533-position model. The record is from RNAcentral.
AGUGAACGCUGGCGGUAGGCCUAACACAUGCAAGUCGAACGGCAGCACAGUAAGAGCUUGCUCUUACGGGUGGCGAGUGGCGGACGGGUGAGGAAUACAUCGGAAUCUACUUUUUCGUGGGGGUUAACGUAGGGAAACUUACGCUAAUACCGCAUACGACCUACGGGUGAAAGCAGUGGAUCUUCGGACCUUGCGCGAUUGAAUGAGCCGAUGUCGGAUUAGCUAGUUGGCGGGGUAAUGGCCCACCAAGGCGACGAUCCGUAGCUGGACUGAGAGGAUGGUCGGCCACCCUGGAACGGAGACACGGACCAGACUCCUACGGGAGGCAGCAGUGGGGAAUAUUGGACAAUGGGCGCAAGCCUGAUCCAGCCAUACCGCGUGGGUGAAGAAGGCCUUCGGGUUGUAAAGCCCUUUUGUUGGGAAAGAAAAGCAGCAGGUUAAUACCCCGCUGUUCUGACGGUACCCAAAGAAUAAGCACCGGCUAACUUCGUG